RNAcentral lists this transfer RNA (73 nucleotides) under Patescibacteria group bacterium. RNAcentral describes it as "tRNA-Val". It matches the Rfam family "tRNA". Rfam says of the family: Transfer RNA (tRNA) molecules are approximately 80 nucleotides in length. Their secondary structure includes four short double-helical elements and three loops (D, anti-codon, and T loops). Further hydrogen bonds mediate the characteristic L-shaped molecular structure. tRNAs have two regions of fundamental functional importance: the anti-codon, which is responsible for specific mRNA codon recognition, and the 3' end, to which the tRNAs corresponding amino acid is attached (by aminoacyl-tRNA synthetases). tRNAs cope with the degeneracy of the genetic code in two manners: having more than one tRNA (with a specific anti-codon) for a particular amino acid; and 'wobble' base-pairing, i.e. permitting non-standard base-pairing at the 3rd anti-codon position. The record is from RNAcentral.
GCGCCCUUAGCUCAGUCGGUAGAGCGCUUCAUUUACACUGAAGAUGCCGGGGGUUCGAGUCCCUCAGGGCGCA